GCAGGUGUGGUGAAAUUGGUAUACACGCUUGGCUUAGGACCAAGUGGAGCAAUCUGUGCGGGUUCGAGUCCCGCCACCUGCA
Molecule: transfer RNA, 82 nt
Filed under: Patescibacteria group bacterium
Lineage: Bacteria
Also listed under: 2 other names
Description: tRNA-Leu
Rfam family: tRNA
About the family: Transfer RNA (tRNA) molecules are approximately 80 nucleotides in length. Their secondary structure includes four short double-helical elements and three loops (D, anti-codon, and T loops).
Source: RNAcentral